This 711-nucleotide ribosomal RNA is filed under the name Bacillus cereus. RNAcentral's name for it is "bacterial SSU rRNA". It matches the Rfam family "Bacterial small subunit ribosomal RNA", at positions 95 to 789 of the family's 1533-position model. Lineage: Bacteria; Bacillati; Bacillota; Bacilli; Caryophanales; Bacillaceae. RNAcentral also lists the same sequence under 1 other name. The record is from RNAcentral.
GCGGCGGACGGGUGUAGUAACACGUGGGUAACCUGCCCAUAAGACUGGGAUAACUCCGGGAAACCGGGGCUAAUACCGGAUAACAUUUUGAACCGCAUGGUUCGAAAUUGAAAGGCGGCUUCGGCUGUCACUUAUGGAUGGACCCGCGUCGCAUUAGCUAGUUGGUGAGGUAACGGCUCACCAAGGCAACGAUGCGUAGCCGACCUGAGAGGGUGAUCGGCCACACUGGGACUGAGACACGGCCCAGACUCCUACGGGAGGCAGCAGUAGGGAAUCUUCCGCAAUGGACGAAAGUCUGACGGAGCAACGCCGCGUGAGUGAUGAAGGCUUUCGGGUCGUAAAACUCUGUUGUUAGGGAAGAACAAGUGCUAGUUGAAUAAGCUGGCACCUUGACGGUACCUAACCAGAAAGCCACGGCUAACUACGUGCCAGCAGCCGCGGUAAUACGUAGGUGGCAAGCGUUAUCCGGAAUUAUUGGGCGUAAAGCGCGCGCAGGUGGUUUCUUAAGUCUGAUGUGAAAGCCCACGGCUCAACCGUGGAGGGUCAUUGGAAACUGGGAGACUUGAGUGCAGAAGAGGAAAGUGGAAUUCCAUGUGUAGCGGUGAAAUGCGUAGAGAUAUGGAGGAACACCAGUGGCGAAAGGCGACUUUCUGGUCUGUAACUGACACUGAGGCGCGAAAGCGUGGGGAGCAAACAGGAUUAGAUACCCUG